This 373-nucleotide ribosomal RNA is filed under the name uncultured organism. Its description in RNAcentral is "bacterial SSU rRNA". It matches the Rfam family "Bacterial small subunit ribosomal RNA", at positions 526 to 896 of the family's 1533-position model. The record is from RNAcentral.
CGUAGGGUGCGAGCGUUAAUCGGAAUUACUGGGCGUAAAGUGUGCGCAGGCGGCAGAGCAAGUCGAGUGUGAAAGCCCCGGGCUUAACUUGGGAAUUGCGCUCGAAACUACUUUGCUGGAGUGUGGCAGAGGAAGGUGGAAUUCCACGUGUAGCGGUGAAAUGCGUAGAGAUGUGGAGGAACACCAAUGGCGAAGGCAGCCUUCUGGGCCAACACUGACGCUCAUGCACGAAAGCGUGGGGGAGCAAACAGGAUUAGAUACCCUGGUAGUCCACGCCCUAAACGAUGACGACUAGUUGUUGGAGGAGUUAAAUCCUUUAGUAACGCAGCUAACGCGCGAAGUCGUCCGCCUGGGGAGUACGGUCGCAAGAUUA